This 22-nucleotide microRNA is filed under the name Mus musculus (house mouse). RNAcentral's name for it is "mmu-miR-7115-3p". Lineage: Eukaryota; Metazoa; Chordata; Mammalia; Rodentia; Muridae. The record is from miRBase by way of RNAcentral.
ACUUGGUCCCCUGCCCCCACAG